RNAcentral lists this small RNA (416 nucleotides) under Malus domestica (apple). RNAcentral's name for it is "sRNA MD10G0091900". Lineage: Eukaryota; Viridiplantae; Streptophyta; Magnoliopsida; Rosales; Rosaceae. The record is from RNAcentral.
AAAACCUACCCCAUAUAGGAGUGAAUAAGGCAUGUAGAGAGAGCAGAAGAUCUUUGCUUGGUGCUGCUAUUCUUGAUUCAUCAUUGUGCUUCGAUUCAAUGGCUUCUCAAGGGCAUACAUAUAUGGUUCUCAGGAUUCACAGAAAGGGUUGAGGAGGAAAACAAAGAACAACUUGCAUGAAACAGGUUCACUGUCAUGUAGCGUCUGAAUCCAAUAAUACAUUGUCACCCAACAAAACCAUUUUUACUCACAUCUUUUCAUUUCCCUUAUUAGACUAAAAUUAUAGUUCCAUUUAAGUAUCAAGACAGGUGUCACAAAACUAGUUUGGUGACGAGAAGAAAAUUUUGGAGUCAGCAGACCCGCAACCUUUCUUUUUCGGUUAAUUUUGCUAUGUUGUAUUUGCUGCCGCUAUUUUC